Long non-coding RNA from Cyprinus carpio carpio, 1215 nucleotides. The record is from Ensembl. NCBI's taxonomy places the organism in Eukaryota, Metazoa, Chordata, Actinopteri, Cypriniformes, Cyprinidae.
GUGAAAACAAUCAUGGCCGCCAUACUGAAGGGUUGUUCCAAACCGAAGUGCUCUAAACUGGUCACUUCAAAGGGCUCUUCGGAAUGAAGGAUUUCGAAGGGUACAACUGAUGGACACUUUGGGCCCCCAUGAUCCUUUGCACAGGGAAGUUGUUUGGCAUCACAGAGUUCGACUUCGCCAAUAAAUCUUAACUGACACAGAAUGGAACGCACAGGAUUGUGGGAUAUCAAAGGCAGCGAAGGAUACAUCUAUGCUGCCUUCAAAAUUCGACCAGAUGAAGGCAUCUCAUGAGACAGGAACUAAAGCUAACACUGAAUUCGGACGUGCCUUGAUGCCUUCCUACCAUAGACAGUAAAAGAAAUGGACACAGCGACCCCAUUGCAACUCAAUUGAGACAAGUGAAGCCCAUUUUUAGCAAUUUUUAGAACUUCCGUUUCUGACGCGCAGACUCAAACUAAGCUUGAUGACGUCAGCAACCUGUCUGACAGAUGUAAAUCUUCUAGUAGCUGUGCGUGAAAACUGCCAUCGUUAAUCUUGCAGAGACGGCGAGCUUGAGCGGGGAGUUCUUUGGCGUGAGUGAGCAGGAGCUUGGCUUAGGCUUGGCUCCCUCCAUGUGGGCUCCUGUGAUGAUAUUAUUAUCAGUCAUGCAUCGAAGAUGAAGGCGAUGUCGCCAUGGGGACAAUCUGAGAGUGACAGUCUAUUCCAAGUUCCAUUAUGCUGCCCCUCAAGAGGCCUCUAUGAGCGAAUAUGAUCUUUAUUAUCUCAAGAAUCAUUUUAAAUGUGUCACCAGUGACUAAAUGUGGAAUGUAAAAGCUUCUGCGAAGCACUUUCAUGGCAGACACUCGAUAAAGAGACGACGAACCAUUAUAAAACAUCGCCAGAAACAAUGGACAUGAAUUGUGGACAUGAACUGGGACACAGUACGGAGGUUAAUUGAGGUAAUUUUUUGUCUCUGGAAAUAAGUUUUUUGUUUGUUUGUUUGUUUGUUUGUUUUUGAAGAGAUAUAUUAAAGUUAAAAUUAGACUUGGGGUAGAAAAUAUAUAUUAUAAAUAAUUUUACAUUUUGUAGCACACUAUGCCAGCUAAAAUAACAAAGGAUUAUAUUUAUUUCCCUUAAUUAACAAAUUGGCUGGUGCGUCAUCAUCUGGCGGCUGUCUAUUGAAAAUAUUUUCUGGCAAUUUAAUGUGGCCUUUUCCUUUUCAAGACACAAGAUGGC